RNAcentral lists this long non-coding RNA (33832 nucleotides) under Triticum aestivum (bread wheat). Its description in RNAcentral is "long non-coding RNA (TAES_LNC020102)". The stretch from base 5270 to 5404 matches the Rfam family "MIR1120/MIR1122 microRNA precursor family". The record is from RNAcentral. Lineage: Eukaryota; Viridiplantae; Streptophyta; Magnoliopsida; Poales; Poaceae.
UUUCUUUUUUUCUGCCGGCCGGGUGGCCUUUCUCUUCUCAGCUGGAGACUGGAGAAAAGAGAUCUACAUGUACCACACACGCUUAAUUGCUUGCUAAUAAUAGUAUCUCCAGAGCAAUUAACGAAGUGAAAUACUACUGUACUUAAUUAGAAGCAACUCAGCAGUAAUAAAUCAAGCGAACCAAUAUGCAGAUCUAUGUUUUUUAGGGAAGAUCUAUGUAGAUCUGUGUAUGUAUGAGGCCGAAAUGGAGCAGGAUGGGCUGGAUCGAGAUCACUCGCACACAAAUAGUCGGCCCAAUCGACACUAGCAAGAAAACCAACUUGGGGAAACCAGCGCCAGUAUGGACGGCCGCAGGUGUAGACCCAGCAUAACGGGUCCGUAAAAAGAAUAUUCGCGAAAUAUGCUUUUUUACAGGUCAGCUUUGUAGGGUCUAAUCUGACGCAGCUCCUCCCGGCCCGGAAACCUAAAUUUGCACCUUUCAUUUGAUCCAACAUAAUGCAUUUCUUUUUGCUUUUUCGACAACAUGGAUACAUAAUACAUCACCAAAUCUUUACUAGAAUAGUAAGAUCAAAGAAAACAAGAACCACAAGUAUGCAUUUUAGAAGAUUUCCAACUUUCAUAACUGCUCCCACUAGUUGGACUAAUAUCUUCUUCAUGCAUUCUUUGUUGAUCUGUGGAUUCUUGAUUUUGCAUUCUUUUUUCUUCAUCUUUCGUUCGAAAAAAGUAGACGUUGCUUCCCCUCUACUUGCACAUGCAGCCACAUCAUUGCCUUUGAUUCUUCUAAGGAGUGCAUCAACGUCUAUUAAGUUUCUUCCUAUCAAUAAAUUAAUGUAUUCGCCUUCCCAAAACCAAAAAGAGCAUCCAUCUUCCUACACACAUGAUGAUGUUCGACAUGAGCUACCGCAAUUGAAUCAAAGAAUGGGCUAUCAAAAUGAGCCGAACGGAAACAACACGUACCCCACCGUUUUCGCAUUUGAAGAACACCCAUCCGGAAUGCUUCGGCGUGCCCGAAGAUAGCCGUAGCACUAUCCGCGUGCAGUCGCCACACUGUAUGAGCGACAUCGGCGAGCCACAGAGCCGCUGCGCGAGCGUCGAGCCCGGUGGAUGGCGGGACGAAUCCAUGCCCACAAACCGUCGGCGACGGCGGGAGGACCAACUCGUACCUGCAUGCGGCGAUGCGACCUUGUCAGGGCUACAGAAGAUGCUCCCCGACCAUUCCAUCGCUUGGCGCAGCCACCAGCGGCCGGAAAAGCCAAAUCCGGCGGCUCGCGAUGAAGGACUGUAGAUCCGCAACUUUUCGGCCCGCCGACGCAGGAGGGGGGGGAGGGGAGGCCUCGUGCGUGUGGCGCCCUUUCGGCGAUCUAGGAAUCCAACGGCUAAGGAGCCCGUAUCACGGUAGCACCUAAGGUUUGGUAGCACCAGAUACUCUCCCCUCAAUCAUCAUGCCAAGGCUAGUCCAACCCUGCCAUGGGCGUCGGCGCUGUCCCUUAGUGAUCAUGUGUCUAGUCUAUUUUAGCUACCAUGGUGGAUUGGUGGUACCUUUAUAUAUUAACAAAUUACACAUGUUCAACUAGAAGACAUAGCCCUACAUUAACCAAAAAUUCGCACGUGCACACACUGCCAAAAGAAUUUAUGAGAAUUAUUUGAAAAUUUAUGGCAAGGCAGAAAUAUAGGUUGCUUUACAACCUAGAGCAAACAUGACUAUUCCUUUAAUAGAAAAAUAAAUAUUUUCGAGGAUAAGAAUUUGAGGAUGGGCUAGGAUGGAAAUGACAUGAUCUCGGGAGAUGUUUGAGAAUGAUGAGCCACUUGAGAGAAGAAGACAUGAUUGCGGCAUCGUACGAUUUACCGAGGAUUUCGACAGUUGCAUCAGGCAUGCCACCAAGGUACUUUCGGCAACCCGGUGGCUGGGCAUGCACCUCUGUUGUCUGUGCAGGGCCUAGGCAUGCCACAAUGACAUCACAGAGGUUUCCCAUGCCGCUACCGGGCAUGAUUUCAUGUGCCGCCAUGCUGAUCUGUAAUUUCCGGCCAUGAAACCCUACCAGAGUAAUAAAUUUAUCGAAUAUUGCACGCGUGUUAGAAAAAUGCGGGGAGGUGGGGUGGCACGUGCCAUGCAAUUGCCUCCUUUGAGAGCACGAGAAGUUCCGAGGCCAUCUUUGCAAGAGGACCCGCACUUCUUGCACAAACCAGACACGUUCCCUCUCGAUACCCAGAGACUAGCUCGGGGACGGUGUAGUUGACAAGCGGCCUUAGGGGGUGCUUAUUAGAAACGCGCCCAAACUUUCACCACAACCUACAGGGGCCAUGUGAUGACAUCAUGCCACCUCUCGAGGAAUUCCGGCAUCGUACGAUUUUCCGAGGAUUUCCACGGUUGCAUCAGGCAUGCCACCUAGGUACUUUCAGUAACACGGUGGCAAGGCAUGUCCCUCCCUCGUUUAUGCAGGGCCUAGGCAUGCCACAAGGACAUCACACAGGAUUUCCCAUGCCGCUACCGGGCAUGAUUUCAUCUGCCGCCUUGCUGAUCUGCAAUUUCGGGCGAUGAAACCUAGGAGAGCAAUAAAUUUCUAGAAUAUUGCACGCGUGUCCGAAAAANNNNNNNNNNNNNNNNNNNNNNNNNNNNNNNNNNNNNNNNNNNNNNNNNNNNNNNNNNNNNNNNNNNNNNNNNNNNNNNNNNNNNNNNNNNNNNNNNNNNNNNNNNNNNNNNNNNNNNNNNNNNNNNNNNNNNNNNNNNNNNNNNNNNNNNNNNNNNNNNNNNNNNNNNNNNNNNNNNNNNNNNNNNNNNNNNNNNNNNNNNNNNNNNNNNNNNNNNNNNNNNNNNNNNNNNNNNNNNNNNNNNNNNNNNNNNNNNNNNNNNNNNNNNNNNNNNNNNNNNNNNNNNNNNNNNNNNNNNNNNNNNNNNNNNNNNNNNNNNNNNNNUGCCUCCUUUGAGAGCACGAGAAGUUUUGAGGCCCAACAGAGCAACAGGACCCGCACUUCCUGCAUAAACCGGAGACGGUCCCUCUCGAUACCCAGAGACUAGCUCGAGGACGGUGAAGUUUACAAGCAACCUCAGGGGAUGUUUAUUCGAAACACGCCCAAACUUUUACCACACCCUACAGGGGCCACGUGAUGACACCGUGCCAGCUCUCCAGCAAUUCCAUCAUCGUACGAUUUCCCGAGGAUUUCAAUUGUUGCAUCAGGCAUGCCACCGAGGUACUUUCGGUAACCCGGUGGCAGGGAAUGCCCCUCUCUCGUCUGUGCAUGGCCUAGGCAUGCCGCAAGGACAUCACAAAGGAUUUCCAUUCCGCUAUCGGACAUGAUUUCAUGUGGCGCCUUGCUGAUCUGCAAUUUCUGGCGAUGAAACUGUCGGUGCAGCGAUCGAUCGCGUUCGCUGCCCGGACUUGCGCACAGGUGCCCGACGGAUCAUACUACAAGCAGCAAUGUUUGAUACAAGGCGAGCCAGAGAGACCGCUCUUCAUGAGGUCAAGGAGCAAAUCAAGAAGACAAAGGCGACCAAAGGAUCCUCCAGGAAGGUCUCCCCUGCCAGGCUGGCAAGCCCCGCGGGGUCGAGACUGGGACUGGGACCAAGGCCAAGCCCCUCCUCGGCAAAGCCUCUGAGGUCCACCAAGGUCGAAGCAAAGACUCAAGGCAACCCCCGGCAAGCUUCACACUGGCAAAACCUUCACCAGAACACCACUGCUCCACCUCAUCAUACGCCAGUCACUUAUCAGCGAGGUGUUGAGCUCUCAGGUGGCUAGGUGGAUCCUAUCAGGUACGUGGCAGCCUGCUGGAGAGAAGAUUAACUUUAUUGACACCCGUCCAAAUGGUGUGUCACGCUAAUAAGGAGAAAAUGUAUAAGCGGCGCGGCAGGCAUGCCGGGCUUCAACCUCAGCAUGACACCUAGCAGUGCAUUUAAUGCACUUUGUCCUAACUGUCAGAGUUAGGUAUGAUAGCACUGUUAGCUAUCCAAUCACACCAAAAUGAUUGUUUUGCCAUUGUGGUCACCUCUUAACCUAUAAAAGGAGGCCCGAGGCAACCGACCAAAGGGUACGAACAUUUUGACCCCCCAACACUUGUAUGCACGCAUUUGCUCUUCCUGAGGCACCCUUGCCGGGCUAGAGCGCUCCGUGUCUUAGUCUUCCUCGUGAUCAAUCCACCAAAGCAGGAGUAGUGUUUUAUGCUGCAAAGCGGCCCGAACCUGGGUAAAAGAGAGUUGUCCCUCGACGUGCCGCCCUAUCGUUUCUGCUCUUUGUGCAAUGUGACCAUCCACCUCACUGAACCACAAAGGGGCGGCCCUGCCCCGUAGGUGAUCGUGCACCCCCCACGACAGGAACCCUAUCAAAGCAAUAAAUUUCUCGAAUAUUGCAGGCGUGUCCGAAAAAUGCAUUGCCUACUUUGAGAGCAUGAGAAGUUUCGAGGCCAAUGGAGCAACAGGACCCGCACUUCCUGCACAAACCUCUCGAUACCCAGAGACUAGCUCGGAGAUGGUGCUGUUGAAUUAAUAAAAAGCGCCGGCAUCCAUCAUUAGGAAGACGGCCUAUCACUUUGAAUCUUCUCUAUCCGAAACAGGUGAAGUUUCAAAGUGAGGGUACAUCUUCUUAACAUGGGUGUAAUGAAGACCGAAGCUUACUGCAUCUGAACUAUUCCACUAUUUAAACAUGUUCUGUUGCUUGUCUUAGGGCAAGGUGGGACUGAAGUUUGAUGGCAGCCAUAUCUUUACCAAGAGCCACACUCGGGAAGCGUUGAUGUUCCAAGAGCGGCGCUCUGUAAAGGCACAGUUAGAUCAUAAAAUUAAUACAUAUUCUUACCAAUGAACACCGAAGUUUAAUGCAAUUCUACUAUCAGACUAUUUAAACAGAUAGGCGUGAUGGGACUAAAUAAUCAACAACUGUGGCUGUUCCGAGAGCUGCUUUCGGUAAAGAAGUCAAACCGUGAUCGUGCCGCCGCGGCCGGCUGUGCCACGUGGCAAAACGUUGCCAUGCAUGCACUGCAUGGCUAUCGGCAAAUAGUUCUUUUGCUGAGUGUUGCCUUUUUGCCGAGGCCUACUCUGAGAUGCGCCUGUUGCCGAGAGGCACUCUUGGCGUCUGCUACUUUGCCGAGUGUCCGCAGUUUAGCUCUCGGCAAAGAGCCUGGCACACGGUGUAUACAAAAAUUCCAGUAGUGUUUAUACGUGGAAUGUAGGGUGCAGUCCAAGCCAACACGAAUCACCUUUGGGAUGCUACAGUCAAAGGGAAAAAAGUGGCUGUCACAAACUAAAAAUUCAGGCACCUGACCAUUAGCAAAACCUAAUAGCAGUAUACUCCCUCCGUUCCGAAUUACUUAUCUUAGAUUUAUCUAGAUACGGAGGUAUCUAGCACUAAAAUGAGUCUAGAUAUAUCCGUAUCUAGACAAAUUCAAAACAAGUAAUUCGGAACAGAGGGACUAGAUAAUAGAAGCCUCCGGAUUGCCUGUGGCCGUCCUCUCUUCGAUCCUGAAACCGACCGGAACACUGCGAAUCGUAACCAAUCAGUGUAGCCGACCGGCCGGACUAUAUCAAGCGUAUACGUACGGCCGGAGAUAUGUACGCAAGAACGCACGUAGACACGGACACACGGCACGUUAACUACAUAUAUACAGGAAUAUCGUCGACGAGGCGGCGAUAUCUCCCGCUCGAUGGUCGACGUCGAGAACCCUGACGCCGGGGAGGCGGAGCCCAACGAGUGUAGCAGGCAUAUGUUGACUUCCCUGAUGGGUUUUGCCUUCUUCGCGUUCAUGUUCGUCUUCGGGUACGCUGCGGCGCUGCUGGAAGAGUCCCAUCCGGCGUCGACGAACGCCGCCCUGAUCGCCCUGUCGCUGCUGGCCCUCUUCUUCGGGUGCUGGUUUGGCGGCAUCUUCGUGAUCCUCGUGGCGGAGUGGCACCACGGCGGGGUAGAGGGACAUGCUAGGUUUGCUGAUGAUUUGAUCCAGUCCGAUAGAUUUAUUCUUCCUGGAUCAAUCCAUCAGUUUCUAAUUCGCAUCGGUCAGCAUGUAGAUGCAUAGUCUUCUCUUGUAGUCUUGUUAUCGAUUUUUUACUAUUACCGUCUUCCACCGCCGCCGGUUCGUCUGGCCUCCCGCGAUGUGGGGGAACCACAGUUUGGGGUGGUUGUGUAAUCCCCGAUUGCUGGAUGGCGUCAUCGGCAACAAGAAAUAAUAUGUUUCCGUCUUGUUGACAUUGAUAGACGGCGUCUCUGGAGCUUCACUAGAGUCAGAUCUUGAGAGUUGAGACUCUGUCUUUAUUUCGUCUACAUGACUGGCGGCGUCCUAUGAUGGGGAUGGCGCCGCGGUAUGUUUUUGUUCUUCUGUUCGGUCAGAGAUGGAUUAUACUUCCUCCGUUCUAAAAUAGAUGACUCAACUUUGUACUAAUUUUAGUACAAAGUUAGUAUAAAGUUGGGUCAUCUAUUUUGGAACGGAAGGAUUAUAUAUAUAUAUAGUAGCACUAUUCUGAUUAUGGGAUCAGAAUAGUUAUUUGGAUCACGGAGCCCUAUAUAGCGAUCGGGUGGUUCCCGAACUCCCCAACCCUCUGCGAAAAAACAUUCCUACCCCACCACCCCACGACCGCUCGUCCCUAACCUCUCCCCCGAUCCCCUGUGAUCCACCGCGACAUCGCCUCCUUCCCCUGGAUCCAGCGCCUCUCGCCGCCGUCUCCCCGGCCCCGGCGCGCCUCUCUCCCUCCCCAGAUCGCCUCCCACCGCCUCCUGCUUCUAGCCGCCCCCGCGCCUUCACCCGACAACGCGCCGCCGCCCUGCAUCUCGCCGCCACCGCCGCCCUCCCUGGAUCUCGCCGCCGCGUGCCUCCUNNNNNNNNNNNNNNNNNNNNNNNNNNNNNNNNNNNNNNNNNNNNNNNNNNNNNNNNNNNNNNNNNNNNNNNNNNNNNNNNNNNNNNNNNNNNNNNNNNNNNNNNNNNNNNNNNNNNNNNNNNNNNNNNNNNNNNNNNNNNNNNNNNNNNNNNNNNNNNNNNNNNNNNNNNNNNNNNNNNNNNNNNNNNNNNNNNNNNNNNNNNNNNNNNNNNNNNNNNNNNNNNNNNNNNNNNNNNNNNNNNNNNNNNNNNNNNNNNNNNNNNNNNNNNNNNNNNNNNNNNNNNNNNNNNNNNNNNNNNNNNNNNNNNNNNNNNNNNNNNNNNNNNNNNNNNNNNNNNNNNNNNNNNNNNNNNNNNNNNNNNNNNNNNNNNNNNNNNNNNNNNNNNNNNNNNNNNNNNNNNNNNNNNNNNNNNNNNNNNNNNNNNNNNNNNNNNNNNNNNNNNNNNNNNNNUCCCUCAACAGUGGCACGCCUCGUCCCCCAUCGCCGGUAUUCCUUUCCCAUGGACAUCGUGCCUCCUCUCCCCCACGGCCGGUGAGCCUCCUCCCCCAUGGACGAUCCAUUCUGUCUAUGCGCCGUCCUCCUCCUGGCUGCGUCCCAUCGAGCGCCGCCCCUGCAUCUUGCCACCACCGCAUCGAGCGCCGCAGCACUCAGGUCGUUCGCCACCACCACCUUCGGCCGUUCAACGAUGCAGCAGCAAGACGUUCAAUGCCUCAGCCCCCCUGCGAAUCCCACUGUUGCAGCAAACCGGACGAGGCCCAUAUCUUUCUUCUUCGAUAAGAUAAUUUUGAUUGCAUACCGUGUUAUUUUGCUCUGUCAUUUUGCUGAUGCCUAAAAAGAAGUUAGAUGAUGGGCUUCUGAUCCCUACUAUGGUCUCAAGCUGCCUCCAACCUUUGGCAAUAUUUGUAAAAAUGAUUGUGCAGAUUUUUCGUUACCCCAUUUUUAGUUACUGAUUGAAGAAAAUUUUGUUCAUUAGGUGAAAGAACUUGAUUUCUUUUUUUCCUUUGUGGAGGAAGAAGGUCACCACAGAGGAAGGGAGAAGGUCAGCAUAACGGCAGGGAGAAGGUCACAUAAGGUGCAGAAAGAAUGUCAGAGUUCAGCAACGGGGUGUGUGAUCUUUGUGUUGUUUUUGGGAUGCAAAUCAUGGGUAUGCGAUCUUACAUCCUGUGUACUAUUGAGAUGGCCUCCCUUAGCCUCAAACCAUAUUGCCCCCUGGAUCCCUCCGAAGAGACAGGCCUGUGACGAGCGCCGCCGUUCAUGCUCCUGCGCGCCACCACACCGAGUCUGGUCGUCUCCGCUGCUGCCAUUGAACGUGCUCCGCCGUGGACGCCCCCAUGCAUCCACCCGCGUGGUAAGGUGCCGGGUGUGCACUCCCAACACACAAAAACCUGGGCAGACACAUCACCGGGAGCCACCUCCCCCAAUCCCUGCCGCCAUUCCAUGCAGCAUCGUGCACGCGUGCUUCUUGUCUCCGUCUGGCCUGGGCAGCACUUCAGUUAGAUUUUGCCAACCACCAUUUCAGCCGGCCAAUGUGUAUAUUUUCAGCAGGUCAAUUUGCAUAUAUUCAGCAGGCCAAUGUGUUGAUUGAACAAAAUUGUGUAUUCAAAACUAGUAGAGCAAUGUUGAUGUUUUCAGCAGACUAAUGUUUUAUGAACCUAUUAGUAGGGAUGCCCUAGCGCUACAAAACAUGUGUAUUCUAAGGUUGCCAUGCUGACAAACUUUCAGUGAUACAUGCACGUUCUUUGUGGUGGUCAAAAAUAAAAUGCCUACUAUGCUACAUUUUUUAUAUAUCCAGUACUACAAAGACUGCUACAUUUUUUAUAUAUCUAGUACUACAAAAGACGGAAACAAUGUGCUACCCUUCCUCCUACUUCCAAUUUCCAUGUGCAUCUCUUCAUCAAUAAAAAAAAUGUUCAUUUUGAAAAUUAUAAAAAAAACUAGAAUUCCCUCUUUCAGGAAAAAGCUUAGAGGUUCAAAUCUUAAAGGCGAAGAAAUUCAAUGUUUGUUACAACACCUAAAAGAAGGUCAAAUUAAAAAAACAAAGCAUCUCAAAACAAACUUAUAAAAAUGGAUUUUCUCCAUUUUAGAAAACCUAGAAGUUUAGAUUUUAAGAACAGAGCGGUUUGAUGUUUAUUAAAAAACUAGCAUUUUUUCCGUUACUAAAAGAAAAACCAAGAAGUCCAAAUUAAAAAAAAGGAGCAGUUCGAUUUUCAUACAAGAUUCAGAUCUUGCUCGUUAUUAAAGGAAGAAACAGGAAGUUCAAAAAAAUAAAAGGCAAGAAGUUCAAGUUUUAAAAAAUAGAGUAGUUCAAAAUUCAAUAAAGAAGAAUUAUCACCAUUUAUAAAUAAAUAAACACUAGAAGUUCAAUUUUGAGAAACACAGAGGUUCAAUAUUGAUGACAAAAUUAUGAUUUUUUCCAUCACUAAAAUAAGUAAGUCAAGAAGUCCAAAUUACAAAAAUAGAGAAGUUCAAUUUAAAGAAGCUUGAUUUUCCUCGUUACUAAAGAAUAAAUCAAGAAAUUCAGUUUGAAAAAACCAAGAAGUUGUACAAUGUUUAUUACAUUUCUAAAAAAUACACAAUGAAGUUCAAAAAUAGAAAAGGUAGAACGGUUCAAUAUCUAUAAAAAUCUCAGAUAUUUUCACGCAACUCAGAGAAGUUCAGAUUGAUAGCUACCAGAAGUUCACGUUCGAAAUACACAAUGUAAAAAGAAUGAAAAGAAAAAAGGCUAAAAGUUUUGUUGCUAGAAGUUCAAGUGCUCGCCCUCAGAAGUUCAAAAAUUCUUGUGAGAGAGGUUGAACAAAAAUACGUGACAGAAGUUCAACAUGAAAACAACGGGAAGUUCAACUAGUACACGGAAUGCAUUUCAGGCAAGAAAUAUAAGAAUGGAAAACUAAAAGAUUAAUAUGAGAAAAAUGAAAUAAAGGCAAGGUUCAAUUUUUUUGUUGCUAUAAGUUGAAGUCCUUGGUCGGAGAAAGUUAAAAAAAAUUAUUGUGAGAGAACUUUGUAUAAAAGGAAUAUCAUUUGUGCAACACCGACGAAAUGGAUGAGAAAUUACAAACGAAAAUACGUCACAUAAGUUCAACGUGAAAACAGAAGGAAAUUCAACUACUACACUGAAUGAAUAUCAGAUGAAAAACUUUUACAAUCUUCGCGCGUAUGAAAAAAUGAUUAACACGGGAAAGUUGCGUGUCUACGACAGCUUUCCACCGGUAUGUCAUUUGCUCAAUUCCGGUGAGUGGAUGGAGAGUUACGAGCAGUGGAUGGAGACCUAUGAGAAAAAAAAUCACAUGAAAAAACAGAGUGAAGUUCAGGUGCGCACGCCGAGAAGUUCAGGUUCUUCACGUGAUGCAUUUCCGAAGAAUCUGUUUCGCGAUAAAGGCAAAACGAAUGAUCUCGUCGUUUUCAAAAUUACUUGAAAACGGCUAGGAAUUAGAGAAAACCAUCAACAUGAAAAAGUUUCGCAUUUUCCGUAUCUUUUCGGUGGUAUAUUAUUAGCCCCAUUCCGAUAAAGUUUGUAGAAAUUACGGCGAAAAUACGUUUUUAUCCAUUUUCAAAACUGACAUAAAACAGUAAGGAAUUGGGAGACAAAAUAUAUACCAAAAAGUUACGCAUUUCCUCAAGCUUUCCAACGCCAUAUCAUUUGCUACAUUCGGACGUACGGUUAAAAAAUUAGCUCAAAAAUACACACUCGGUGCAACUUGGACCGUUUUAUAAAUCACUUUUAAACCAUUUACAAUUAGAAAAAUAUCUCAACAUGAAAAAGUAGCACAAUUUCAUAAGCUUUCCAACGCCAUAUCAUUUGCCUCAAUUGGAUUAGCCAUUUAGAAAUGACAUCGAAAAUACGGACACGGCUGUUCGGUUUGUGAAAUUUUACGUUUUUUCAAAUUACUCUUUAACCGUAGGGAAUUAGAGAAAACUUUUAACAUGUGGAAGAAGCGGUAUUGCAGCAGUUUUCCAACGCCAUAUUACUUGCCUCAUUAUGAUAAACGGUUUAGAAAUGCGAUUCACGUUUUUUGUGUGAACAAACGGUUUUCAAAACUACUCUUAAACCGUUUACAUUUUGCGAAAAAUUUAACUUGGGUCAUGAUACUCGUGUCCAUAGCUUUCCAACGGUAUAUAGCAAGCCCUAUUUGGGCAAUGUUGCGGGAAGUUCAACCUAGCACAAUGGGAAGUUCAGGUCGAACAACUCAGGCAGUAAAAUCGCAAAAAACGCGAGUUCUUCACGACCCCAGUGCAAAAUACGACUAUGAGCGAGAUUCCUAUCUAAAACAAGUAUUUAGUUAGUAAAAAUCGUUUAAAGAUUACACUUACAUCACAUGGAACACGACUAACCAGAAAAAACUCGCGGUAGAAGGCACGGUUGCGAAGAUAGCCCGAAGGUCGGGUUCGUACAGAGAGAAGUUCAGGCGCGCGUACAAACAAAAAUACGUCACAGAAGUUCAACGUGAAAACAACAUGAAGUUCAACUACUAUGCUGAAUGAAUUUCAGAUGAAAAAAUUUUAAAAUCGUUGCGAGUAUGAAAAAAUGAUCAACACGGGAAAGUUGCGUGUUUACAGCCGCUUUCCAUCGGUGUAUCGCUUGCUCAAUUCCGGUGAAUGGAUGGAGAGCUACGAGCAGUGAAUGGAGACCUACGAGCAAAAAAAUACGUGAAAAAACAGAGUGAAGUUCAGGUACACGCGCCGAGAAGUUCAGGUACUUCACGCCAUGCAUUUUUUGCGGAUCUGUUUCGCAAUAAAGGCAGAACGAAUGAUCCCGCCGUUUUCGAAAUUACUUGAAAACGGCUGGGAAUCAGAGAAAACCAUCAACAUGAAAAAGUUUUGCAUUUUCCUUAGCUUUUCAACGGUAUAUUAUUUGCCCCAUUCCGAUCAAAUUUAUAGAAAUUACGACAAAAAUACGUUUUUAGCCAUUUUCAAAACUGACAUAAAACCUUAACGAAUUAGGAGAAACAAUAUAUACAGAAAAGUUUCGCAUUUCUUCAGGCUUUCCAACGCCAUAUCAUUUGCUGCAUUUGGACGUACGGUUAAAAAAUUAGCUCGAAAAAUACGAACUCGGAGGAACUUGUAUCGUUUUCUAAAUUAAUUUUAAACCAUUGAAAAUUAGAAAAAACUUUUAACAUGAAAACUUAGCGCAAUUCUAUAAGCUUUCCAACGCCAUAUCAUUUGCCUCAAUUGGAUCAGCCGUUUAGAAAUGACAUCGAAAAUACGAAGUCGGCUGUUCGGUUUGCGAAAUUUUACGAUUUUCCAAAUUACGCUUUAACCAUAGGGAAUUAGAGAAAACUUUUAACAUAUGGAAGGAGCGAUUUUGCAGCAGCUUUCCAACGCCAUAUUAUUUGCCUCAUUCCGAUAAACGGUUUAAAAAUGCGAUCGAAAAUACGAUUCACGUUUUUUUUGUGAAGAAAAAACGAUUUUCAAAACUGCUCUUAAACUACUUACAUUUUGCCGAAAAUUUAACUUAGGUGAUGAUACUGGUGUUCAUAGCUUUCCAACGGUAUAUCGCAAGCCCCAUUUGGACACCUUUUAGCUGAAGUUCAACCUAGUACUCGGGGAAGGUCAGGCGCGUUACUCGGGAAGUUCGGGUUGUGAUCAGAAUAUUAUUCUGAUCCCGUGAUCAGAAUAGUGUUUAUGUAUAUAUAUAUAUAUAAAUAGAAUUUCUAGUAGGACCAAUCAUAUAUAUAUCAUCAAUGUCUCACAAACCAUAUUAAUUCACACAUACACACAUGUAUAGCUAUAUACAAUUUCUCCUACAUAUGCAUGUUGCCUUCGAAGCCAGUGGCAUUAGCCUAAUUGGUGCCUUCGGAGCACGAUGACAAUUGGAAGUGGUUCAUGACCUGGUCGAUGGGGGCGGUAGCGGGUAAUAGUAUUCUCCCUUCGGAUUUAUGACCUGGUCGAGCAAAAAUCCCGCUAUUUCCUCUUGAAGUGCUUCUACGCGCUUCGUUUCUAGGAGCUUGUCCCGCACCUCUUUGAACUGUUAAGAAGGAGAUCAAUAUGCAUGUGUAUUAGUUGUGUGACUAGAUAUCGAUAAUGGUGUAAAAAUUGUGAAUAGUGUUUUGACAAGCGUACCCAUUCCUGUCUUUGAGAUCUGCUCCUUUUGGACGCCAUCAUGCGAGUGUUCUCGCAAACGCAGAAUGCACACAGAUCAGUCCCCUGCGCCUGCUUCAGGGCCUUUAUUACGAGAAUGGAAUUUAAUUUGAUCAGAUAAUAAUUAAUCAAGCAUGAUAAUUAAAGAGAUGGCAGCUAGCUAGCUAGCUAGUACUACUUAAUUACUUACCUUGGAUCGAAACCAUUUCAGCUUUGGUUUCCAUUCGCCUUCCGUGACGCUGAUGAACCUUGCCCAAGCCCUGCCCGCCGACAAAGAAAAUGAAUAAAGGGGUUAUUAAAUAGUUCAUAUCAUGAAAUGACGAACUAAAUAGGCCGAGAUAUAUAGUUAAUAAUGAUUGAAAUUACCUGUUAACUAUCCCAAACAAGAUGUUAUAGUCACUAUUUGCUUUGAGUAGCGAGUCCAGUAUUUCAACUGUUCCGGUGUCAACUUUAAUGAUACACAAGAUCCAGUGAAAUCUGCAUGCACACACGUUUGCAUGUCUUAAUUAAGCGGGCAUAUGUAAGCAAAAACAUGUAGCUAGCUAGUAGGCAAAAACAGAGAAUUUGUAGUACAAGAAAGUGUGACUCACUGGAAGUUGUAAGGAAGUAGUAUAUCUUCAUUGUAUUUGAGGCGCUUCAAGAACUCUAGCGUGCUGUCCUCUACCUCUUUUUCAUGAUGCUUGUUUAUUUUCCAUGUGUAUUCAUUAACGGUGUUUGGGUCAAUGAACCAAUGCCAUAGCGUCCACCUUUUCUCAUUUCAUACAUCUUCAUCCUGCAUAAUACCACAGAAAAGAAUAUAGUGAGGAUAAUUACAGGUAAUGAUUGAUCAAAAGGAUCACUACAGCUAGCUUGAGACUUAAAUUACAAAAAGAAAUCACUUACAGACAAUAGCAACUGACGAUAGAUUUGUCGAGUGCGUCUUGAUUGUAUAACUGAAACAGUUCAGAAUACUCAACGGCCACAGCUUUCUCAUGGUAGUAAUCAUCCUUCUUGACAUACACCAUGAGGGACUCUCGAUCGGAUCUCUUGAUAAUGUCCAUGUACCAUUGAUGCAAUUCAUACAUUCUCGUUGGGAGCUUGUUGACAUCUUCUGGCUCGACCAAAGGUUGGCCCCGGACAUAUUUUCCUUUUAUUUCCUCCUCUGUAAUCCCAAGCAUGUCCUCGAUCUCGAGGAGUUGUCCAACAGUGAUCUUGAGUUCUUCAGCCUGCAUUAUAUGCUCCUGGGUUAUUACCACAUCGCCCACCUCGGGAACGUAAACUGUUGGCCACAAUAAUAUUGGGCGCGCGUACUGUCACGUGUUGUUGGCGGCACAACAAGCGAGGGGAUCGAUUGCGCCGCUUGUUUUCCUAGCUGGGCAACGGUUUUCCCGCAUUUUUUGACAGCUGCUUGUUGUUUGCUCGAGCUCGAGCUCGCCUCCUUCUGUAGACGUCGUCGAUGUAACUUCCUAAUGUGGCGCUCAUAGUCUGUGUCAACAGGCUUAGGAGCUGGUGGUUGAGCCAUACGAAUGAAGUGGUCAACUACUUCCACAGGCACUUUCUCCCUUGGCGGCGGUGGCGGUUUCGGUCCAAAAUGGGUGUCGAGUUCUGCCUGCACUAUGGCAUUGGUUUGCUCCUCGGUCCUAUCAUAAGCCCUCACAGGAAGAGGAGUAGUGAGGUUUGGACCAUAUUUAUAUCGCUUGCCUCCGCCUGUACUUCCUGUACUAUGACCUCGACUCGUACCGCUACGCACCAUAGCUGCGGGGUGUCUCUUCUGCGAUUACUGAGGCGGCGGAGACGGCUGACGGGGCUGAGUUGGACGAGGAGGAGUGGCCUGAAGCUGUGCCGGACUUGCAGUGGCCUGAGGUUGUGCCGGACUUGGAGGAGGAGUGGACGUCUGACGCUGUGUCGGACUUGGAGGAGGAGUGGCCUGACACUUUGCCGGACUUGGAGGAGGAGGAGUGGCCUCACGCGUUGGUGGACUUGGAGGAGCGGGAGUCUGCUGACUCGAUGGCGGACUUCGAUGAGGAGUCGGGUGACGCGGUGUCGGUGGCCUUCGAAAGAUGAUGCAAUCCUUUCUCCAUAGGAUGACAUGAUGUAUGGCCUCUCCCAAUGUGUGCUCGUCAUCACCUCCAGGAAUGUCAAGCUGUAGCUCCGAAUAUGGGUCCACCACCUCAUCAACCAAGACACGAGCAUAGCCCGCUGGAAUCGGGUUGCAAUGGAAGGUUGCCUCGGGGGAAUUUGAAAAAGCAACGGCGUCCGCCACCUUCAUGGAUAUGUUCUUCAUUUUGAAGUGUAGCUCGCAGUUAGUGUUCUCCGUGAUGUCAUCCACGGGGUAUCUAUCCAGCAGUGCGUCGCCCGGGGCGGAACCCAUGCUGCUUCUCGGCAUGGAUGGGGCGGUGCUAUCCAAUGCUGGAUCAUCCGCUAGCUACUGUGGAUGCUGAGACCCCCUUUGCUGGCUAAGUGAGUCGAUCUGCUCCUGCUGCCGCUGGAAUUUAACUGCCAAUUCCGCUUGACUUGCUUCUAGGCCUUGAAGGCGUUCAUACUCCCCUUCCUCUGCUCCUCCUCCAUCUUCCUCUUCUUCUCCUCCACAAUAUUCUUUCUCGCACGGGUUCUGUAGUCGGCGUUCCAGUCCGAAAACCCCUCAUACCACGGAAUAGCGCCCUUGCCUCGUGUUCUUCCUGGGUGUUCAGGAUUUCCCAGGGCACGCGUAAGCUCGUCGUUCUCUCUGUUGGGCUGGAACACCCCCGAUCGAGCCUCUUCUAUUGCAACAAGUAGCGCAUCGUCGGCUCCGUUCAAACAUGCCUUCGUCGAAACAUUGCCUGUCUUCGGGUCCAACUCCCCCCCAUACGCAUAGAACCAAGUCCUGCACCUGGGGGGCCAGCUCUUAGUAACCAGAGUGACAUUUGCAUCCUCCAUCUCUUUCUCAGACUUAUCCCACUUAGGCAUUGCCACCGCGUAGCCACCUGGCCCCAGCUUAUGGAACUUAUCCUUUUUUUCGGCAUUCUUCUUGUUUAUUCUCGACCGUUUCUUAGCUAAUUCUGAAUCCUUGAAUUUCACGAAGUCCUCCCAAUGAGCACUUUGAUUCUCUAGUAUCCCCUCGAAUACUGGAGUCUUCCUUCCUCCCUUAAUGUACUUCUCCCACGUCGUUCUCUUGUGGUUCUUGAAUGCAACCGCCAUCUUCCUAAAAGCAGCGUCCUUGACUUUCCGCACAUCUGCUUCUGUGAAAUGAUCUGGUAGGGUGAAAUGUUCCAUGAGAGUAUCUCAAAGCAGUUUUUUUUAUUCUCGUCGACAAAAGUAACAUUUGGACGUGGCUUUGGUGGCUUUCUCCAUUCUUGAAGGGAGAUCGGGAGUUGGUCCUUCACAAGAACUCCGCACUGACGAACGAACUUGUCCGCAAUCUUCUUAGGCGCUAAUGGUUCGCCAUUAGGUUUGAUGGCCUCGAUAUUGUACUUUACACCCUCCUUCAACUUUUUGUUCGGGCCUCGUUUCGUCCUUUUGCCUGAAGAUUUGCUCGAUCCGGAUGGCUAAAAGAAGAAAGAUCGAUUCGUUAAUAUAUCUUCAACUCAUUUAAAACAUGCAUCACCAGAUUCUUGCUUAUAUAAAUAUAUAUACCUCGCCGGUGUUUGUUGUUUCAGGAUCAACAUGUUCUUCGUCGUAGUUCAUGACUUCAUCUUCUCAGUCGUCGCGAUCGAAUAUCAUAUCACCCUCUCCGGUGUUGUUUAGAAAUUCGGAGCCGUCAAAAUCUUCUUCAUUCUGAUCAUCAUCUAGCCCGCGUAUGAUAUCGAACAUGGUCUGUUCUCUCUCUCUGUCGGUAUUGUCCGCCAUAGCUUUUAUUUAACUAUGCCAAAAUAAAUAUAAAACAAUUUAGUAUAAUCUCGAAUACAUCGUCUCGAAUAAUAGAUAUAAUCUCGAAUACAUCGUCUCGAAUAAUAGAUUUAAUCUCGAAUACGUCGUCUCGAAUAAUAGAUAUAAUCUCGAAUACAUCGUCUCAAAUAAUAUAUAUAAUCUCGAAUAAAUCAUCUCGAAUAUUAUAUAUCGAAAACAUCACUAGCUAGCUAAUAAAGAUCGAAUACUAGAGAGUAAUCUAGGCGGUGAACAACCAAAGUGAAGGAACCAUCACUGGAUUAUAGCUCGGGUGAUCUCCCCAAAGAACCUGCCAGGUAUUGGAGAACCUGACGUCCAUAGCAGCCAUGUAGCGAUGGACGUGCUCGUCCUCCUCCUUGACACGGCGACGUACCACCUCCGGCGGGGCCGGCUCCCUCCGCACCGAAAGUGGCCCACGCGAAUGCCACCAAAGGAGAUGAGGGUCGACGACGGGACCCGGGGCCGGGUUCCUCACCAAGCGUCGCGCCCCUGAAGGUAGCACCUCCCAGUGCCAGCCCGGCGGAGCCCAGUCCCGGACAUGGGUCCUCUGAAGCAGGACGUCGUCGCGAACGGGUCGACGGCGAGGAUGCGGGUCGGGCAUCAUCGACAACAAAUACUAUAUGCAAAUGUAACACUAAUUAUGCUAUCAUUGCAUAUGUCAAAAUUCUAUAUGCUAUUUCAUACUAAUUAAGCAUCUAACACUAAAAACAGAAAAAACAAUUUCUAUACAUCCAUUAAAAACAGAAAAACAACAUUAUAUAAAAAAAUUCCAUACUAAUUAAACACUAAUUAUAUCCAUCUAACAUGCAUUCAUACAUAUAUACUAGUGAAAAAAUAAUAAUCUAAAAAAUCUAAACUAAUUAAACAUACAAAAUACGUAUAUACUAAUUAACUUAAGGAAAUGUGCGUGUGUGUGUGUUCAUCAUGCUUGUGUGUGUGUAUGGGCUCGGGGAGGGGCGGCGCUCAUGGUGGCCACCAGGGGCGAGGGAGAGGGGUUAGAGGGGGAGAGCUCACAGCGGGGCGACGGCGACGGCGAGGCGACGGCCCGGGGCGGCGACGGGCCNNNNNNNNNNNNNNNNNNNNNNNNNNNNNNNNNNNNNNNNNNNNNNNNNNNNNNNNNNNNNNNNNNNNNNNNNNNNNNNNNNNNNNNNNNNNNNNNNNNNNNNNNNNNNNNNNNNNNNNNNNNNNNNNNNNNNNNNNNNNNNNNNNNNNNNNNNNNNNNNNNNNNNNNNNNNNNNNNNNNNNNNNNNNNNNNNNNNNNNNNNNNNNNNNNNNNNNNNNNNNNNNNNNNNNNNNNNNNNNNNNNNNNNNNNNNNNNNNNNNNNNNNNNNNNNNNNNNNNNNNNNNNNNNNNNNNNNNNNNNNNNNNNNNNNNNNNNNNNNNNNNNNNNNNNNNNNNNNNNNNNNNNNNNNNNNNNNNNNNNNNNNNNNNNNNNNNNNNNNNNNNNNNNNGACGACGACGGGGGCGGCGACGGGGACAGGGGCGGCGACGGGGAUGAGGGCGGCGACGAGGAUGGGGGCGGCGACGGCAACGACGAGCGACGGGGGCGGCGUAGGACGGGGGCGGCGACGGCGUCGAUCGAUCGGGACGGGCGGUGCUUCAAUGGGGAAACAGAGGAAGAAACAGAGGGAGAAUGAAAUUUUUCGAAGUGAUGUAUAUAUAGAAGGCACCUUUAGUACCGGUUGGAGCCACCAACCGGUACUAAAGGCCUGUUUUGGCCAGGCCAAGCAGCGGGAAGCACCCCCCUUUAGUACCGGUUCGUGGAACCAACCGGUACUAAAGGCCCCCCCUUUAGUACCGGUUGGUGCCACGAACCGGUACUAAAGGGGGGUACGCUGCCAGGCGAGGGGCACAAAAGUUUAGUCCCACCUUGCUAGCCGAGGGGCACUCGCAUCUGCUUAUAAGCCCCGCCGUCGCUGCUGUCUCGAGCUCCUCUCUUAAGCAGGCCUUCUGGGCCUACCUCUUCUGCGAUGCCCUGUUGGGCCUACUGGGCUAGCGGGCCUGCAUCCUGGCCCAACUUGAAUUUGGGUUUCUAGUCGUAUGCAGGCCGCUGUGGCCCAGUAGGUGGGCUUUUUUCUUAUUUUUUUGCUUUAUUUAUUUUUGUGAAUAACUUAACUUUGAAAAUAUAUUUUUCAGUGAUUCUUUUUUCUUAUGUUUAAUAUUAGUGUGUUUUAUCAUUAUAUUCAAUUUGGUAAUGCUUAGGUUAUUUGAAAAAUGAAAUGCCUUUGUAACAGAUGAGUUUUCGUCCGAAACCCUGAUACUUCGAAACAGAUUGUCCAUUUUGUACACGAAGUGCAUCCAGUUUUUGCGGUAACCCUCUCUACUUUUUUGCACAUGCUAUGUGGGUGAAAUUAUGAUACCAUGCCAACUUUCAUCCUUUUCUGAGUUCAUUUGAAAUGCUUUUCAAUUUCAGGGUCAUUUAGCUGGAAAAAAUCAGUAAGUGCAUGAAAGAAUUUGCUUGCACAUAAAAUUUCUUCGCGUUUCAAAUGCCAAAACACAUAACUAGCUACCCUAACUAUUACAGAGAUUCCCUCCUGGGUGUGAAACACAUAAGAAAGUGAUGAUAGUUAAGCCGAUCACAUCCCAGAUCUUUGGGUGUGAAACUUUUUCUUCGCGUGUGUCCCUUUGCGUCGUAGCCAUGGAAAAUCUUCAUCAUUUAACGGGAUGCUCGGGUCAAUAUUCACUGUGAAUGGAGCAAUUUCAUCAAACUUUUCAUAAUCUUCUGACUUGUCUGUAUUGUCAUCCACUCCCACGAUGUUUCUCUUCCCAAAAAGAACUAUGUGCCGCUUUGGCUCAUCGUACGAUGCAUUCGCUUCCUUAUCUUUUCUUUUUCUUGGCUUGGUAGACAUGUCCUUCACAUAGAAAACCUGUGCCACAUCAUUGGCUAGGACGAAUGGUUCGUCUGCAUACGCAAGAUUGUUGAGAUCCACUGUUGUUAUUCCGUACUGCGGGUCUUCCGUUACCCCGCCUCGUGUCAUAUUGACCCAUUUGCACCGAAACAAAGGGACCUUCAAACCACGUCGAUAGUCAAGUUCCCAUAUGUCUUGUAUAUAACCAUAAUAUGUUUCCUUUCCCGUCUUGGUUUCUGCAUCAAAGCGGACACCACUGUUUUGGUUGGUGCUCUUCUUAUCUUGGGCGAUCGUGUAAAAUGUAUUACCAUUUAUCUCGUACCCUUUGAAAGUCAUUAUAUUCGAAGAUGGUAACUGGGACAGCAAGUACAGGUCAUCUUCAAUAGAGGUGUCAUGCAUGGUACGUGCUUGCAACCAGCUGGCGAAACUCUUGGUUUGUUCACGUAUAAUCCAGUCAUCUGACCGCUCCGGGUGUUUGGAGCGUAGCAAAUUCUUGUGUUCAUCCAUAUACAGAGCCACCAAGGCGGAAUUUUGUAGAACUAUGUAGUGUGCUUCAGUGAGAGAAUGUCCGUCCAUACAUAUUAUUUGUUCCCCUCCUAGCGUGCCUUUUCCAUCCAGUCUGCCCUUAUGCCGCGAUUCAGGAACACCAAUCGGCUUAAGGUCAGGAAUAAAGUCAAUACAAAACUCAACGACCUCCUCAUUUUGACGGCCCUUGGAGAUGCUUCCUUCUGGCCUAGCACGGUUAUGAACAUAUUUCUUUAAGACUCCCAUGAACCUCUCAAAGGGGAACAUAUUGUGUAGAAAUACAGGACCCAAAACGUUAAUCUCUUCGCAUAGGUGAACUAGGACAUGCGUCAUGAUGUUGAAGAAGGACGGUGGAAACACCAACUCGAAACUGACAAGACAUUGCACCAAAUCAUUCUGUAACCUUGAUAUGAUUUCUGGAUCGAUUACCUUCUGAGAGAUUGCAUUGAGAAAUGCACAUAGCUUCACAAUGGCUAAUCGAACGUUUUCUGGUAGAAGCCCCCUCAAUGCAACCGGAAGCAGUUGCGUCAUAAUCACGUGGCAGUCAUGAGACUUUAGGUUCUGGAACUUUUUCUCUGCCAUGUUUAUUAUUCCCUUUAUAUUUGACGAGAAGCCAGAUGGUACCUUAAUACUGAGCAGGCAUUCAAAGAAGAUUUCCUUCUCUUCUUUGGUAAGAGCGUAGCUUGCAUGACCCUGAUGUAUGCCGUCUUUUCCGUGCAUACGUUGCUGGUUCUCCCGUGCCUCAGGUGUAUCUUUUGUCUUCCCAUACACACCCAAGAAACCAAGCAGGGUCACACAAAGAUUCUUCGUCACGUGCAUCACGUCGAUUGCGGAGCGGACCUCGAGGUCUUUCCAAUAGGGCAGGUCCCAAAAUAUAGAUUUCUUCUUCCACAUGGGUGCGCGUCCGUCAGCGUCAUUCGGAACAGGUUGUCCACCAGGACCCUUUCCAAAGACCACCUUCAAAUCCUUGACCAUAUCAUGUACAUCAGCACCAGUACGGUGGCGAGGCUUCGUCCGGUGAUCUGCCUCACCUUUGAAAUGCUUGCCUUUCUUUCUUACGGGAUGCCUGCUCGGAAGAAAUCAACGAUGUCCCAGGUACACAUUCUUAUUAGCCAAAUAUAUACUAUCGGUAUCGUCCAAACAAUGUGUGCAUGCGCGGUAUCCCUUGUUUGUCUGUCCUGAAAGGUUACUGAGAGCAGGCCAAUCAUUGAUGGUCACGAACAGCAACGCCUUUAGGUCAAAUUCUUCCCCCAUGUGCUCAUCCCACGCACGUACACCUGUUCUAUUCCACAGUUGUAAGAGUUCUUCAACUAAUGGCCUUAGGUACACAUCAAUGUCGUUGCCGGGUUGCCUAGGGCCUUGGAUGAGCACUAGCAUCAUAAUGAACUUUCGCUUCAUGCACAACCAAGGAGGAAGGUUAUACAAACAUAGAGUCACGGGCCAGGUGCUAUGGUUGCUGCUCUGCUCCCCAAAAGGAUUAAUGCCAUCUGCGCUUAGACCAAACCAUACGCUCCUUGCGUCAUCUGCAAACUCCUUCCCGUACUUUCUUUCGAUUUUUCUCCACUGCGACCCGUCAGCGGGUACUCUCAACUUUCCGUCUUUCUUACGGUCUUCUCUGUGCCAUCGCAUCGCCUUAGCAUGCUCUUUGUUUUGGAACAAACGUUUCAACCGUGGUAUUAUAGGAGCAUACCACAUCACCUUGGCAGGAAUCUUCUUCCUGGGGUGCCGGCCCUCGACAUCACCAGGGUCAUCGCGGCUAAUCUUAUAGCGCAAUGCACCACAUACCGGGCAAGCGUUCAAAUCCUCGUACUCACCGCGGUAGAGGAUGCAAUCAUUAGGGCAUGCAUGUAUCUUCUGCAACUCUAACCCUAGAGGGCAGACAACCUUCUUUGCUUCGUACGUACUCUCGGGCAAUUCGUUGUCCUUUGGAAGCAUAUCCUUUAUCAUUACCAGCAACUUUCCAAAUCCCUUGUCAGAUACACCAUUCUCUGCCUUCCAUUGCAGCAAUUCCAGUGUAGUGCCCAGCUUUUUCUUGUCACCUACGCAAUUCGGGUACAACAAUUUUUUGUGAUCCUCUAACAUGCGCUGCAACUUCUUCUUCUCCAAAUCACUUGCGCAGUUUCUCUUUGCAUCGGCAAUGGUCCGACCUAGAUCAUCAACGGGCACAUCUGAUGCCUCUUCUUCAGCUUCUUCCCGCAUUGCCGGCUCAGCUUCUUCCUGCAUUACCGGCUCAGCUUCUUCCCCCAUUGUUGUAUCAUCGUAUUUAGGGAACCCAUGGCCAGGAUAGCUGUCGUCGUCCUCUUCUUCUUCAUUGUCUUCCAUCAUAACCCCUCUUUCUCCGUGCUUGGUCCAAACAUUAUAAUGGGGCAUGAAACCGGACUUAAACAGGUGGACGUGAAUGGUUCUUGACGUAGAGUAAUUGUGACCAUUCUUACAGCGAGCACAUGGACAAGGCAUAAAACCAUCCGCCCGCUUGUUUGCCUCAGCCGCAAGCAGAAAAGUAUGCACGCCCUCAAUGAACUGGGGAGAGCAUCGGUCAUCGUACAUCCAUUGCCGGCUCAUCUUCAUUACACAACACCGAAUAGACCAAAUUAAUACAAGUUCAUACAUAAAGUUCAUACAACACUUAAAUGCAACAAACAAAUAACUCUCUAGCUAAAGCAUUUAAAUGCAACAACAAAUACGAUCAAGAUCGCAAUUAAGGUAACAAUGGAUCCAACAGCAUAAUGAUACCAAGCCUCAAUAUCGAUGGCAUAUUUUCUAAUCUUUCUAAUAUUCAAGCGCAUUUUCUCCAUCUUCAUCUUGUGAUCAUCGACGACAUCGCAAUAUGCAACUCCAAUUCCAUCUUCUCCCCCUCAAUUCUUUUCAAUUUUUCUUUCAAGUACUCGUUUUCUCUUUCAACUAAAUUUAACCUCUCGGCAAUAGGGUCGGUUGGAAUUUCUGGUUCACAUACCUCCUAGAAAAAACUUAUAUGUCAACUUGAUGGGCAUAAUUUGUCAUAAACACGAAAUGCAACUAGUUUUAAAAGAGAAUAUACAUACCACAUCCGAAUCAUAACAAGGACUAGGGCCGACGGGGACGGAUAUCAAAACCAUGGCACUAUAUGUAUAACAAACAACGUACGGGUAAGAUAAUUAUAUGAGUAACUAUAUAUCCAAAUCACACAAACAUCAAUUUUUAUAUAAAAUUUCAUGAACAAGAGGCUCACCACAAGGUGGUUCCGGCGACGGGACGGUGCGGGCGAUCGCGGUGGCUAUGAUGGAGAUUUAGAAGGCACUAAGUAAACCACACCUACAUAUGCAAACUAAGUGUUAUUUUUGAUUUCAAAUUUUAUAUAAAUCAAAUACUAGCACAUAUAUAUAUAUAUAUAUAUAAUUCCUCCCAAAUUACUAAACUCACAAAUUAAUCACUAUAUAAAGCAUUGCAAGAGCUAAUCUAGCAAUGAGAGAUGAAAGGACAAAGUUGCUAACCUUUGUGAUCAUUUGAAUGGAUGGGGGCCUUCAAAUCUUGACAAAUUUUGGGCAAAAUGUGUGAUGAGCUCGAGAGGAAGAGGGGAAGAACAGAGAGGAGAGGGGAAAGGGGAAGAACAGAGCGAGCUCGGGUGGACGAAGGGUUUAUGUAGGACGACCUUUAGUACCGAUUUGUGCCAAGAACCGGUACUAAAGGGGCUGGAGGGGCCCCAUUCUGACAACAUCCUGCCACCACUCUCAUUAGUACUGGUUCGUGGCACGAAUCGGUGCUAAAGGUUCGCCACGAACCGGUACUAAUGAAAGUGGCCCGGCUAGCCGUUGGAACCGGCACUAAUGUGCUUCACGUUUGACCCUUUUUCUACUAGUGCCAGGCAGUCCGCACGCCGCCUUCAGCAAGCAGCUGUGGCGGCCCGCACCGGCCUGGGAGCACGGGCACUGACGGGCGCGCCGCGCGCAGGCCAUUAGCCAUGUCAUUAUCCAGUGUCGGGGGAUAGAGAUGGCGCCGCUGGUUGCCGGCUGAUCGCACACCUGUUUGCUGCGUAACCUGCCACCGAAUCACUCAAUCAACACACAAGAGAGUGGUGGAGGGGAAGAGUGAUCGGGUGGUGGUGCGUGCGUACCGAAGAGCUCGAUGAUGAUGGGGGCGAAGCCGUUGAGCGUGAUGAUGUCCUCGGAUGCCGUCCUCAACGCCGCCUCUCCUCGGCAUCGCACUCAUCUUGGGGAACCCGUGGAGAUGCCUUCCCCGCGUGUGGAGCUAGUCCGGCGACGCCGCUGAAGAGGCCGUCGCCACCAGGGCCGGUCCUGAGAUUUCGGGGGCCCGGGACGAACUAAGAAUUGGGGGACCUUAAUAUACAAGUCAUUAUAAUAUAAGUAUAUAUAUAAAUUUAUCUAAAAAAUUGUGCAUAUAUAAAUUACUAUCAGUAACACUUCAAUGCAUCUAACAUCAGUAUGCGUAUCAAAUAAUUUAUAUAUAUUACCUUAAAAAUUUCCCAGAGCCACUUACAUUGUUAUCGCCGGUGUUGGUGUUGAUAUUUUCUUCUUGCUGAUCAGAGUCCGAAUUUCCAUUAGUCUGUUGCUCUUCCACUAUGGCAACCAUCGCCAACGCAUCAUCUGGGUUUGUCGAAGUAGUGGAAGCACCAAUAUUAGUCGGCCACUUGAGAAAUUUGUGAAUACCCGCACGUUGUGCGUGUGUCAAUUUCUCCACUUCCUUCUUUUUCCUUUUGCUGCUACCUGAUAAUUCCUCUUACUGGAGGACUUCAUAAUAACACACACACAAUGCUGAAAAUUAAAAAAAAUGGUUCUAUCAAUUAUUGAACAUUGCCGGCUAUGCAUAAAAGGAAUCAAAGGAACUUUUUUGUAUCAGUAUUAUAUGAAUAUACCUCAAUACGUGAUGGAGUGAUGAUCAAACUUCAGUGCGUGUGCGUAUACAAUACAAUACACAGGGGAUUGCACAGCGCCUAGAGUCUGCAAAGGAUUGAGAAGAGAACAAUUGAGCAAAUGCCAAAGGGGGCCCCGGAAUUGAAAUCAGCGGCGAACAUAUGCAGAAUACGAAGGAAAUUACCAAGCGGCGGCGAGGCGGGAGUGCGUGCGUGUACGGCGGCGUCGGCAGACAGCAGCUACGGCUGGGACCUGGGCGUUGCGUGACUCCACGUGAUGGAAGAGUCGAAUAGAACAGAAAGGGAAUCCUCAGGCCGCUGAUUUUUUUUUGAACAACAAACGGCGCUCGAAGCGCCAAAUUCAUUUCAGCUCAGAAACAGUGUACAGCGUGAAUUACAAACUCCUGAACCUGAAAAUUUGAGAGAAGAGACACCACAGGACAGGAACUAUGUCUAUGAGCUGAAGCGAAGCAAAAACUUGAGGUUCAACCCUAGAAUGAAGAACCUAAUAAGCUACAUUGUGUGCUAUGCCAUUAAUUUCCCUAGAAAUGUGAAACACUCGAGGUUGCAAGCUGUUAGCAUGCUUGAAGAAAUCAGCCAAAGGCUUCCUGAUGCUCCAAGGGGUGGUAGAUUCCACAAUCUUGCCGGUAGCAGCCACCAAAGAUAAAGAGAGGCAAUCCAUGAGAAAGGUUGGCUGAAGAAUAUUGAGCUUACUAGCCACUUGAGCUGCAAAAGAAAGAGCCAGAGCUUCUGCAUGUAGAGGAGAAGUAGUGGGAGGAGCUAAUGCUUGAAUUUGCACAUUGAUUUCAAAACGAUCUUGAGGCAAAACAAGAUAGACUCCUAUUCCAGUAGCAACUGCUCCCUGUAAUAGACCAGGAACUUUUGAACUUCUGAAAGUAGCGUCAGAAAAUAUUUUGGUCCCCGUAAUGAGCAAAUCCGACUUAAGAGUUCGACCCUGCGUAGGAAGAUGAUCAGGAGGAUAAAGAACUUGUGGCAUCACCUGCAUCUUAGAGAAAUGAGGCAAGUCAUUAUAAGAAUCAGAGGACAAGGCCAUAGCAGCAAUGUGCACAUGAUGAGGAAGAGCGUUUUUCCUGUCAAAAAGAAAAUCAUUUCUAGCCUUCCAAAUACACCAUAAGAAAUUAAGAAUGUUAGAGAUAGAACCAUUAGGAUGUCCCAUUUGAAGCAAGGCAAUAAGGAUAGAAUGCAUGGAAGUAUGACCUUGGAUUAAAACAUCAGACCUAAUAAACCAAGGAUAGUCAAACCAAGCCGCACGAGCAAAGGGACAAAGAAAAAAUAAAUGGGAUUCAUCCUCCCGAUGGCCACACCUACAAAAGUUUUUUGAUAUAUGAACAGAGAAUCGACUAGCUCGCAAACCUGUAGGCAAUGCCCUUCUAAGAAGCCUCCACGCAAAAGUUUGUACCCUAGGCAAAACCUGUUUUUGUUUCCAAACCAUCUUGAGAAGAUUCUUCAAUUCCAAAGGAAAAACAGAAGGAGCAUUUCUGGGAACUGCAUGAAUGUCCUGCAAACAAAGCUUAUAAGCAGAUUUGGAAGAACAAAUGCCAUUCGGAGUGAGAUCCCAACAAAGCAAGUCUGGACCAUCAUCAUUGAUAAUAUCAGUUUGGAGAAUAAUUGAGGCCAUAGGUUGCUGGAAAAGUAAAUGAACAAGCUCAUUAUUCCAAAAAAUUUGUCCAGGGAGCCAAAGAUCCUUAACUAAAGAAGGAUAUCUAAAGCCCGGUUCUUGAAUAAUGAGAUGAUCAUGAAUGGAAGUCCAAAGGGUGCACCAAGGCGUGCUCCAAAUAGAGAUAUUACCUUGAGUUAAUUGGUAAAAAGAAUGAGCUUUCAAUUUAGGAAUCAUUUUUAAUACCGAAGCCCAAAAAGCAGAUUUAGGAGCAGAAGAAUGAGCAACCCAGAUGGAGGAGUCAUGAAAAUAUUUAGCCUUAAGAACUAAAUACAGCUGAGAAAAAGGGAUUUAGCAAUUCUCCAAGCAGCUGCAAAAACAAGACUCUCAUUGAUAGCCUUCAAAUUUCUUAUGCCCAGUCCACCUUCUUCUUUAGAAUUGCAUAUGUCUUUCCAUGCACGAAGACAAAGACUCCUUGUAGAAUCAUUCUCCCUAACACCUGUCCACCAGAAAUUUCUAAUGACAGCAGUGAGCUUUGCAAUAAACUUCUUUGUGAACAAGAUGUUAGCCAUAUAAUAAACAGGAAUAGCAGAGAAAACAGAGCGAAUCAAUUCAAGCCUCGCAGCAUGAGAAAGCAUAUUGGCUUUGUAAGCAGGCAAUUUAUUCAUAAAUUUAUCAAGAACAAAGUUAUAGGCGGCGGUUCUAUUUUUAGCAGGAAGAAUAAGCGGAUGACCAAGAUGAGUGAAAUUGGUAUCCAUGGAGGAAACAGGAAAAACUUGCUUAAUCUCCUGCCUUGUAGGUUGACUAACUCGAGAACUAAAAAGAAUGGCAGAUUUGGCCCAGUUUGGAGUUUGACCUGAAAUAGAACAAAAGUGGUGAAUGAGCUGAGCCAUAGCAGUGGCUUCCUGAAUAGUGGCUUGACCACAAACCAACAAAUCAUCUGCAAACAACAGAGAAUGACACUACACCACAACACCAAUGCAAUGGCACAUAAUCUGCCGGGAGAACACCAUUAAGAGGGCAGAUAAACUGCCGCGAGAGAGAUUUUCCCGACAGAUAGGACUGCCACGUCAACGGCUGCCAGGGAUUACUUGUCCCGGCAGAUAAAUAAUCCCCGGAAGUUUUUCUGCCCCGACCAUUUUAUCUGCCGGCAGUUUACUUUCACCCGGCAGAAUCAUAGUGGCUAGCAACUGCAGUUUACCGGCAGUUUCACUGCCUGCGCAAGCACAUUUACCCGGCAGGUAAUAUGCCAUCACGUGCUUUUUCACAAGCAAUCAAAAUUAUUCUAUGUGCAAUAUCCCUGAUUAAAUAUCCAAUCAUUAUGUUCAAACAGUCAGGACAGAUCACACAACUUACACAUACGUUCAAUCAGAUUACAUGUAAGACCUCAUGCAAUAACAUAAAUAGACGAAAAACAUAUGUUUUUAACACAUGCAUGAACCGUACAUAUAUAGACAUUAUAUGCCUCAAAAUGCAAAGUACAUAUGUUUAAGGUAAAGAAAUCAUGCCACGCAACCAAAAUUGGCAUACAAUGGCUUGUCUGCUGAAACAACCACCAAAAUGAGCAGUGUAAAACUUGUCAAUAUCUGGAGGUUCAACAAACAAGACAUAUUACAUAUAUAUCAUCACUCCAGCAACUUGUCAGACCUUCAAAACCUCCAGAGCAACUUGUAGAUCUUCCAAACCUCCAUCAACUUGUGUAUCUUGAGAAACCUGCAACAAAUCGGAAACUCAGAAAAUGGUGCUAUCGUUUCAAAUUUUAAAUCAACAUAUUAAAGAUUUUGAUGUGCUGCAGUUUAACGUCAGCAUAUAACUCUUCUGAAUGUUAUGCACUUCAUCAUCACAACAAGUAGUGAUUAUUACGUACAUAAUUAGAUCAAGCAGAAAUUAUUUGCGCUUCACAUACAAAAUCUUCCAUGGGCAAAUAUGACAAAACAAGAAUGUGUAACAUUGUUGCUUGCUUCACUAAACUGUAUAGUCCAAGCUCAUCCAAGAAAUAGAUUGCACUAAUUUUAUCAGUAAACUUUCAGAUCUGAUAUGAAAGUCAACCUAGAACAAAAGAAAGAAUCCACAAAACAAAUUUGAAAAACCAGAGGACUGUACAGCAAAAAAUCAAAGUUGAAGAUGCAUAUUACCUCCUCAACUUGCUUGUGGUCACAUUACUGCAUUUGCUAGACUUAUCCACUUGCACCUGCAUACAUACAAGCGGACUUUUAAGGUGUAAAAAUAAAUUGAGAGCAAGCAUUGAGCAUGCAAAAAAAAUUUGUAACCACCCAAGCCAGGGUAAAAUUUUGUGCCUGGCCAAAUAUUUGGCAUCGUGGAUCUGGGCACAAAACAAGCACAUUGAUAGAUCAUUAAUGCAUGAUAUGGUUAAGAUUUUACAUACCUUAAAUUAGUCUUUCAGCUGCUCUUUGAGGCCCAUAACAUGAGGGAUGAUAAUUUGGAUCAGCGGAAACUGUUCAGGGAUGCCAAAAGAAUCUCGAGACAGUAAAAUGUAUCAACUCAGAGGUAACUGGCAAUUUAGAGGCAAGUGCAUUAUUAACAAGCUGCUAACAAAAUCCUGAGAACAAAGGGUGUAUCUUAGGUUUAACUGAAUGCAGACAUUCACAGUAACUAUGGUGGCCUUGGUCAAGCAUAUUGCAAAACAACACCUAUCUGAAACUAGCUGAAAUAUAGUUAAGUGUUAACUGAUUUUGCUGGUAACCAGAAAUCUGUUUAUAUGAAGAAACUUGUUGAAACCUAGUUAAGUGUUAACUGAUUUUUCUUGUAACCAGAAACCUGAAAUUGGCUUUGACUAGAACUAGUUGAAACAUGAAGCGCAAAACUUGUAGAAACCCAUAUAUCCCAGUUCCAUAUGUGUUCCCUGGAAACUCCCGGAUUUUUAAUGACUUUGAGCGAAUUUGCGUGCCGGAGGAUAUGGGAACAGAAUUGAUAGCAAAGUUUGACAGGAACCUGCGUGAAUAAUCCAUUAAUCAUCAUGCCCCGAUCGGUCGGUUCGGUACUCGGUUUUGAACCGAACAGGCCGAACAGUUUGCGGGAUGUGAUGGCGGGAUGGGAUGGCGGAUGGGAUGGCUGCUAUACUUUUGUCUCGGCGGGGCUAGAUAACAACACGUGUUAUGCUCAAAGAAAAAAAAUACAUGAGGUGAGCGAGACAACAGGCAACAACAAACAGUACCUAGGUUCACUAAAAAAAGCUGGCGGGCGUCCUGUACGUGUGACGAGAAUCAGGGGGGCAGCCGGCCAGCCUACGGCACUGUUUUCCACUCAUCACAUUAACACGCCAUCUCAUCAAUACAAUUGAUUUUUUGUUUGUUGGCUGGCAACACAGAGCGAACAAAUGGGAACUAAUUUAUGGAAGACGCACGAGACAGUUAGUGGUGGGCCUCGGUGCUUCGGUCAAUUCGGUUGCCUGACUGUGCAUACAUACACAUGCCAAGCAAAAUCUCGGUUCAUAUGUUUACUGCAGUUUUAUUUGCAUGAAGCAUAUAAGAAACGAAAUGCUAAAUAAGUUUCAAUGUUCUGAAAUAGCAGCAAACAUGUAUCCAAAAGAAAAAUACUGAAUCUAAGACUUAACUACCAAGAUUAUUACCUCCUCAGCUUGCUUGUGGUUGCGUACUCGUGUUGCUGGUUUUGCCAUGAACUUAUAAGUCACUCUCAGCUGCAUAUAUAGAAGCAAAGACUUUUAAGCUAUCAACCAUAAUAGUCAUUGGUAAAUAUAUAAUCAGAAGAGCAUAAGCUUAUGUGCUUGUAUGGAGUAGUCGACGCUGCUUGGUGGAGAGGACAAACAACAGGCAUACUGCUCACAAAACAAAAAAUCCAAAAUAUUAUUUCAGUGAAAGCAUCAAAUGAAAAUUAGGGAACAGUUUGUAAGAAUUACAUAUAGGAGAAAAGAGCAUGGUACUCAGCUAGCCCCACGACCCAAUUCUUCAAAAAAAAAUCUACUUAGGAGCAUAGCUCCCAAUUUCCAUUACUGAAAACAUCACAUGUCUCAAGUUCGUCCCCCUCCAGGGGUACCUCAAAACAUCAGAAACUAAGCCACACACAGCAGCACUACUACCAAACUAGACGCAGAACCUAAACAACGAGCAUCCAAAUGUUCUAAUUACCAGCAACAAAACAAUAGUCUUAUAUUACUCGUGGCCCUACAUGACAAGGUACUGUACUACCAGGGUUAUAUUACUUGCACGUGGCACUGCAAGUAGGCCUUUUCUGAAAUCUGAACCACAAGCACAUCUUAAGCUAUUUACCAUCUCUGUGAACGUAGCUAUGGAUGAAUUUGUUCUUAAGUGUUAAGCUAAAUAAAAAAAGUUUUAAGAACAGGGGAUCUGGCAAUUCAGUAAGUCAUGAUGCCAUGGAAUUUCCAGUAGGGGCGACGGUACAAACCAAUUGCUCUCAUUUUACUCUAGAAAAAUAAAUUAUCAGACAUAUGUUUUUCAAUUCAAUAAUAAAGGUUGCAACAAUUGAAGGGAUUUCUACUAUGAUAGACAACUACUGAUCAUUAAAUUCCAGAAUCACAUGACUGGGAGCAGUGGCAAACUGGCAAUAGAAAAUUAUGGAAGAAAAUUCCAGAUCAAACCCCAUAUAUCUAUUUUCAUAGAACUAACACAUUCACUAGUUAAAACUAUUAAACUCUAGAAGCGUUACUUCACUUUCAGUCUACAUUUGCAGAAAAAAAAAUAUACAGAAAGAAGUUCUCUAGCUAUAUUUGCAGCACGACCUUGAAACUUAAUUUCCCAAAGCUUGCAUGUAGUACCCCUACUGGGAUUCACUGAUUUAGUAUGUAGUUGAAGCAUCCAUUUGCUGCAAUGGAAGAUCUCUUCACCAUAAGCAAAACUUGCUCGGAUGACAAAGCUAGUCUUUAUCUUCAGAGCUGUAGUGUCAUAUAAACUCAAACACUUUCUGAAGUCGUUCUAGUUACUGCUCAGAAGAAAAAAGGAACAGAAGUUUGCAAAGAUUGAAAUCUCACCGGCCAAGUGCUCUCCGUGAGCAAGGAGGCGGCGCUGCACCUGGGGGAGGAUGUAGAGGAGGUGGAGCUUCUCGAGAGAGGGGCCGUACAGGAAGGCCCGCUGCUCGGGUGAGGGAAACAGGAGGCGACCCAACUUAGUGCUCAGGGAAGGAUGCUCGUGGAGGAGGAGGCCCUGCUCGGGGGAGAAAGCUUGAGGAGGAGGAGGCCUGCUCGGCGGAGGAAACCUGUGGAGGAGGUCGUUGUUGUGGUGGGGAUGGAGGGCGGUCGGCGGCUUUCCUCUGGAGGAAGCAGGCGCUGGGUGCGCGGGGGAUGGGAACGAAGCGACGAAGGGUUUCCUUGGUAGAGAAGGGUGCUCGGCGACGACUAGGCGGUCGGCGGCGAUGUGUUUGGGGACGAAGCCGGCGCUGCGGUCGAGUGGUUGGUGGUGGCGGCGGCGGUGUGGUAGGGGUUGAGGGUUAGGUUUUGGAAGAUUUGGGGAAGAACUGCUCAGGGGCUCAGGGCGACGAGCCGACGACCAAAGGAACCUUUCGAUCUCGCGCGCCCUUUCUCCUGCGCAAGCGCGCUCGGCCCAAUUGUUUUUUUAGAAACGGCCCAGUUACUUUGGUUACGCGUGGCAUACAAGUUCCCGGCACACAACAAGCCGCAGUUUAGUUGGGCCGGCAGAUAGGAUGACCUGCCAAGUGGACAUCGUUGCCGGCAGUUCGUGUGCCCUCGUUUGUUAACUUCUCCCAACAGUUUCUCUGCCGGUAAGUAAUUCUCCCGGCAGUUGUUCAAUUCCUGGCAGUUUCUUUGCCCUUGGUCGGGUAUUUCUCCCGGUAGUUAACUGCCCCUAAUUAGGUGUUGUGGUGUAGUGUGAAUAGAAGGGCAAUUUGGUCCAAGCGAAAUUCCUUGAAGAUUUUGAGCAGCAAGAGCUUCAUUGAGAGCAAUAGACAAUUCAUUGAUAACAAUAACAAACAAAUAAGGCGACAUGGGACAGCCUUGACGAAUGCCUCUGAAACUUCUAAAUUUAUGUGAAGGCUGCCCAUUAACAAGCACAGAGAAAGUAGGAGAAGAAAUGCACGAAUGCACCAAAUUAAUGAAAUGACGAUGCAGCCCUUUACGUGCAAGCGCAGACACAAUGAAGUUCCACUCUAAACGAUCAAAAGCUUUAGCCAGAUCUAUUUUUAGCAUGAAAGCAUGAUGAUUCCACGAAGCAAGAGAGAAAGAGUGAGUAAUCUCUUGAGCAAUAAUAAUGUUGUCACUAAUUCUUCUACCCUCAAUAAAGGCUUGCUGAUCAGGAUCAAUAUAGUCCGGAAGAUGAGGCUUAAUUCUAUUAGCUAGCGAUUCCGCAAUGAUUUUAUAGACAACAUUACAAAAGCUAAUGGGACGAGAAUCCAUAGGAACCUGAGGAACUAACUUCUUUGGGAUUAGAGCAAUAUUAGUAUCAUUAAUGUGGGGAGGUAAAAUACCAGUUUGAUAAAUGUUAAUCACAAGUUGAGUGACCUCCUCCCCUAUCCAAUCCCAAGCAGCCAAAUAAAAUUCCACAUUAAAACCAUCUGGACCUGGAGAAGCGUUCAACUUCAUCUCUUUAAGAAUCUGCAAAAGUUCAUUUUUAUCAGGAAGAAAAUAAGUAGGAUCCAAAGAAUUGACAGGCAAGUGAGUAUUGAGAAAAGGUCUUCCAAUGUCAUUGUUAGGCGAGGAGAAGAUGUAUCUAAAGUAGUUGACAAAAGUAUUAGUGAUAGCACUAGGCUUAAAAUGAAUCACAUCAUUCUCAUCCUUAACAGAACAAACAGUAUUCCUUUUUCUACUUUUGAUCACGGCCCGGUGAAAAUUUUUAGUAUUGCGAUCACCAGCCGUGGCCCAACCCUUUUUACUUCUUUGUUUGUAAAACUGAUUAAGUUUGGAAAGAGUUUGUUCAUACCUAAGAGUGAGAGAGCCUUCCAAAGUAUGAUUUUGUUGCUGCAAAGGAAGCUUCUGAAUCUGAUUGAUACUUGAUUCAAGUUCCAAAAGUUCUUGCUGAAGAUGCUUUUUCUUCUUGCACCACUUUUUACCGAAAAAGGCUUUCGCCCCGCUUUAUAUAUAAAGCAAAUGCCCAAGCCAACAUCCAACAAGGUUCAAGAACACACACGCACACACACGAAAGUUCCAGAAAAAUAAGUAACGAAAGGGUUAGUGCUGAGGGCACAGCUCAACAAGCCCUAAAAGAAAAACAAAAAGGCACACACGCUGGGAGAGACAAAGUGUCUAGUCUGGCUCCGGAGGUGGCGGGGGGAGCGGGGGCGCCAGGCGGAGGGCCAUCGAACGAAGGUCGGCGAGGAGGGUGCUGAUGACGUCCCGGUC